UAGAAGCCUGACAGCAGGGGUGUCCAAACCUUUUGUUUGAGGGCCACGUUCAAUAAAAUGCAAGGAUGCAAAGGCCACUUUUGAAGUC
Molecule: long non-coding RNA, 88 nt
Organism: Hippocampus comes (tiger tail seahorse)
Lineage: Eukaryota; Metazoa; Chordata; Actinopteri; Syngnathiformes; Syngnathidae
Exons: 3
Source: RefSeq, a predicted model, not a curated record